RNAcentral lists this ribosomal RNA (200 nucleotides) under uncultured bacterium. RNAcentral's name for it is "partial 16S ribosomal RNA". It matches the Rfam family "Bacterial small subunit ribosomal RNA", at positions 28 to 224 of the family's 1533-position model. The record is from RNAcentral.
GAUGAACGCUAGCGGCAGGCUUAAUACAUGCAAGUCGAGGGGCAGCACAGGUAGCAAUACUGGGUGGCGACCGGCAAACGGGUGCGGAACACGUACGCAACUUUCCCGGAACUGGGGGAUAGCCCUCCGAAAGGAGGAUUAAUACCCCCGUAAUAUAAUAGGGUGGCAUCAUUUUAUUAUUAUAGCUCAGGCGGUUCUGG